UACGGGGGGAGCAAGCGUUGUUCGGAAUCACUGGGCGUAAAGGGCGUGUAGGCGGCCAAGUAAGUCGGGGGUGAAAUCCACUGGCUCAACCAGUGACGUGCCUUCGAAACUGCCUGGCUUGAGUAUGGCAGAGGGAAGCGGAAUUCCAGGUGUAGCGGUGAAAUGCGUAGAUAUUCGGAAGAACACCAGUGGCGAAGGCGGCUCACUGGACUGGUAUUGACGCUGAGGUGCGAAAGCGUGGGGAGCAAACAGG
RNAcentral lists this ribosomal RNA (253 nucleotides) under uncultured bacterium. Its description in RNAcentral is "partial 16S ribosomal RNA". It matches the Rfam family "Bacterial small subunit ribosomal RNA", at positions 524 to 776 of the family's 1533-position model. The record is from RNAcentral.